AUUCCAGCUCCAAGAGCGUAUAUUAAAGUUGUUGCAGUUAAAAAGCUCGUAGUUGGAUUUCUGGUCUAAUGCGCCUGGCCCGCUGCCGUUAGGUAUGUGAGUGCCGGUGCGCGUUUACCAUCCUUCCAGAGAACACUUCUACCAUUUAUUUGGACGGAUGUUGUCUUCUGGAUCUUUUACUUUGAAAAAAUUAGAGUGUUUAAAGCAGGCCUUUGCUGUGAAUACAUUAGCAUGGAAUAAUAGAAUAGGACCUGUGUUCUAUUUUGUUGGUUUCUAGGACGUAGGUAAUGAUUAAUAGGGACAGUUGGGGGCAUUAGUAUUUAAGUGUCAGAGGUGAAAUUCUUGGAUUGCUUAGAGACUAACUUCUGCGAAAGCAUUUGCCAAGGAUGUUUUCAUUA
This 398-nucleotide ribosomal RNA is filed under the name Cryomonadida sp. RNAcentral describes it as "partial small subunit ribosomal RNA". It matches the Rfam family "Eukaryotic small subunit ribosomal RNA", at positions 582 to 975 of the family's 1831-position model. The record is from RNAcentral. Lineage: Eukaryota; Cercozoa; Thecofilosea; Cryomonadida.